This 1430-nucleotide ribosomal RNA is filed under the name Klebsiella sp. CCFM8382. Its description in RNAcentral is "bacterial SSU rRNA". It matches the Rfam family "Bacterial small subunit ribosomal RNA". The record is from RNAcentral. Lineage: Bacteria; Pseudomonadati; Pseudomonadota; Gammaproteobacteria; Enterobacterales; Enterobacteriaceae.
CAGACUACACAUGCAGUCGAGCGGUAGCACAGAGAGCUUGCUCUCGGGUGACGAGCGGCGGACGGGUGAGUAAUGUCUGGGAAACUGCCUGAUGGAGGGGGAUAACUACUGGAAACGGUAGCUAAUACCGCAUAAUGUCGCAAGACCAAAGUGGGGGACCUUCGGGCCUCAUGCCAUCAGAUGUGCCCAGAUGGGAUUAGCUAGUAGGUGGGGUAACGGCUCACCUAGGCGACGAUCCCUAGCUGGUCUGAGAGGAUGACCAGCCACACUGGAACUGAGACACGGUCCAGACUCCUACGGGAGGCAGCAGUGGGGAAUAUUGCACAAUGGGCGCAAGCCUGAUGCAGCCAUGCCGCGUGUGUGAAGAAGGCCUUCGGGUUGUAAAGCACUUUCAGCGGGGAGGAAGGCGUUAAGGUUAAUAACCUUGUCGAUUGACGUUACCCGCAGAAGAAGCACCGGCUAACUCCGUGCCAGCAGCCGCGGUAAUACGGAGGGUGCAAGCGUUAAUCGGAAUUACUGGGCGUAAAGCGCACGCAGGCGGUCUGUCAAGUCGGAUGUGAAAUCCCCGGGCUCAACCUGGGAACUGCAUUCGAAACUGGCAGGCUAGAGUCUUGUAGAGGGGGGUAGAAUUCCAGGUGUAGCGGUGAAAUGCGUAGAGAUCUGGAGGAAUACCGGUGGCGAAGGCGGCCCCCUGGACAAAGACUGACGCUCAGGUGCGAAAGCGUGGGGAGCAAACAGGAUUAGAUACCCUGGUAGUCCACGCCGUAAACGAUGUCGAUUUGGAGGUUGUGCCCUUGAGGCGUGGCUUCCGGAGCUAACGCGUUAAAUCGACCGCCUGGGGAGUACGGCCGCAAGGUUAAAACUCAAAUGAAUUGACGGGGGCCCGCACAAGCGGUGGAGCAUGUGGUUUAAUUCGAUGCAACGCGAAGAACCUUACCUGGUCUUGACAUCCACAGAACUUUCCAGAGAUGGAUUGGUGCCUUCGGGAACUGUGAGACAGGUGCUGCAUGGCUGUCGUCAGCUCGUGUUGUGAAAUGUUGGGUUAAGUCCCGCAACGAGCGCAACCCUUAUCCUUUGUUGCCAGCGGUUAGGCCGGGAACUCAAAGGAGACUGCCAGUGAUAAACUGGAGGAAGGUGGGGAUGACGUCAAGUCAUCAUGGCCCUUACGACCAGGGCUACACACGUGCUACAAUGGCAUAUACAAAGAGAAGCGACCUCGCGAGAGCAAGCGGACCUCAUAAAGUAUGUCGUAGUCCGGAUUGGAGUCUGCAACUCGACUCCAUGAAGUCGGAAUCGCUAGUAAUCGUAGAUCAGAAUGCUACGGUGAAUACGUUCCCGGGCCUUGUACACACCGCCCGUCACACCAUGGGAGUGGGUUGCAAAAGAAGUAGGUAGCUUAACCUUCGGGAGGGCGCUACCACUUGGAUCAG